UGCGGCGCCAUUUCGCAGAACCCCUGGGUGGGUGUGGACAAAGCGCUUGCCCUUCUUUCAUCCCAAAGCUGCCUGCUUGUCUCCUGAGAUGCAGUGAGACAUUUAAGCUGGAGUCCAGUGGCCCUAAGGACCCAUGUUUACAGGAGAAGAGCUUAGAGGCAGCAGCUCCAGGCCAUGAGAGCGAACAAGGUCCCCUCAGGAGAAUCCGGUUGCUCCGGAACCAUGGUCCAGGGAUGGCUCUGAUCUCCUCGGGGGGCAGGAAGUUGAAGCCAAAGCAGAAAUCCCCUUCCAAAACACAAGGACUUCCUCCCUGCAGAGAGUGCUCUCUGACAGGGCCACUGCCUCUGGUAUGGCUGCAAGUCCUUCAUUAUGAAUCCUGUAACUUGCAGCUAACACCAGAGGGUUAUACAACAACCCAACUCCAUCUAUACAGGUACCCUUGACCACCUGUUGAGAAUGGAAUAAUCACCACUGCUGAUGGGACUACCUAUACCUCCUACCUCACAGUGACAGACUUCUUCUGAUGGGACUGCUUCCACCUCCCACCUCACAAUGGUAGACUUUCAGUCUCUGAGAUAGGCUCCAAUACUUAUGUUACUGAUAUGUACAAUUUUUGUAUCAAGCCAGAACAAUUGACACACCAAAGGUGAUGGUAUGUCUAGCUGAUAGGUUUUUCUGUUGGGCAUUUAGAAUAGUGCCCCCCUCUGGGAGAGACUCUAACUGCCAUAUUUCUGCGCCCCCGUUCAGCAGGAAGUAGUUCAAGACUGGAUCUUCGUCCUCUUUCCUCUGAUAGCAGUUAGAGUGUUGUCUCAUGAGGGGGGAAUUGUGAGAGACCAGAUUAGACAGAUAGUUGUUUUAGGCAGUCAGAUAGGGACUGGCCCACUUACGACGUCACAGCCUCUCCAUGCCUAUCCCAGCUGGCUCCACCUGCUUCAGUUGCUGGAUUCAACGUCUGCCUGUCUCCCCCAGUCAUACUCUAUUGAGCGUGUACCCUUUCCAGGUAUGAGGGAAUUCCUCCUGUGAGCCCAGGCCAAUUGGCUGGGAUACCUGGCACAAGUAUGUCUAUUUUGUCCUGAGCACGGACUCAAAAAUCAUCUUUUUUGAGCCCACAGAAAAGGCUUUUUCUUCUCUCUGGCCCUUGAGCUGCAUACAGCAAGAUGCCUGUGUCUUUCUACCAGUAAGAUUCACUUUUUAUUAGUAUUUUUACUUUUUAAUCUCUUUGGAAGCAAACACUUUCUUUAAAAACUUCUCACAUUAUUUUCUUUUUUAAAAAAUUAAGUUGCAACUUUGUAUGGAUACAUUAUGCGUUGGUACCAUCAUUCCCCUCUUCCCCACUCCUAUUCCACUGAGGGCCGUCCUUAGUGGGACUGCUGGUGAUUCCUGCAGAGGGACUGGACACCAAGUCUCUGAGAGAGGAAAAUAGUCACAAAAUGAGAAGUGUCUUAUGGUCCUUGUGAGCUUUUCCUAAUAUAAGCACUCAUAUUCAGAACUAAAGGUGAUAGCACUCUGGGAGAAGACUGCUUAACUGGACUUGAACAUCAGGCUUAUCUGGGCUGACCUCUGCUACCUGGUCAAGUGUUCCAGAGAUCAUGCAGGCCUCAGGAUGGGAUUCAUUGGCGAACUGAAUGUAUAUAAGGGAAAAAUGAAAUGACAGACUGUACAAAAAAUACCUCCUGACUCCCAAUAAAGCUGUGAAAAACCACA
Molecule: long non-coding RNA, 1704 nt
Organism: Jaculus jaculus (lesser Egyptian jerboa)
Lineage: Eukaryota; Metazoa; Chordata; Mammalia; Rodentia; Dipodidae
Exons: 3
Source: RefSeq, a predicted model, not a curated record